AAUUUUGCUUCGCAAGUCAAACCGAAAUUAAUCGCGUUCCUUUCUGCCAGCAACCGCAAACGUACGUUCCGGUAACGUGUACCUAACAAGCCUCCGGAGACCACUCAACAGAUUUCCCGAGAAGUUUUAAGCGUCCUUACAAGCAAACAUAAAAAGUUCAAGGGUUUGAAUCAUCAUUAAGUAACUCUCGACUUUCUAUUUGCGUAUGAAGAACAGAACGUGCAUCACUGAGCGAAGAGGAAGUAACCUGCCGGAAAUAGCGUUGACAGAAGCUGCAGAUCGAGAUAAAUCGAGCUAAUGAAUUCCACAUUGAAAUAGCUUCGUCCGAUCAAGCGGAAUUAUCGAGCGACCUACAUUUUACUCUUGUUAUGGAAGAUUCACAGAUGCUAAACGUCUAUGGCUUGGUUUUUACACAGCGUGAAACGGGCACAAUGUGUGUCAACUGGGAAAGCUGUUGAUUAACGACGUUAACAUUCAUCCGGUUGCCUCCAAAUAUUUGUUUUUUCUAGUUUUGGAUAUUAACGUCAAAAUGGUUAGACAUAUAAACAGCGUUAUCUAUGUACCUGCAAAAAUUGAACUGUAUAUUUACUGAAAAAAAAAAACAAGAAA
Long non-coding RNA from Bombus huntii, 609 nucleotides. RefSeq lists it as uncharacterized. The transcript has 3 exons. The record is from RefSeq and is a predicted model, not a curated record. Lineage: Eukaryota; Metazoa; Arthropoda; Insecta; Hymenoptera; Apidae.